Molecule: long non-coding RNA, 650 nt
Filed under: Homo sapiens (human)
Lineage: Eukaryota; Metazoa; Chordata; Mammalia; Primates; Hominidae
Description: HSALNT0312271
Source: RNAcentral
GUUACUGAGGGUGAGGGAAGCCCUUCCAGCCAGUUGCCGGGAGCCCUGAAGACGCGGUGGCGGGGCGGCGGGGAGCAGGGCGGGAGUGCCCUGGACUCCGCGGAUUCCUUUGGGGCUGGAGGGCCGCACACGUGUUUUACUCCAACUGUUUGCAACUUUUGAAACCCGGGCAAUCUGGCUUUGGCAUUUGAAAACCAUUUCAAACAGGAGAGAUUCCAAGAAAUGAGGGGGGUACGUUGAAACGAUGAAGAAAGGAUGGACACAGCAGUCGAGGUUGAGAGGUAGGCUCAGGGGUCCACCCUUGUGUGACCUUGAGCAAGCUUGGUGACCUCCGCGCCUCCGUUUCUCGCUGAUCAAAUAAGUAGAACAAGACCUCACAGGGUUCUUGGAAGUAUUACGUGGGAAAACACUUAUAAAGUGGCAAAUAAUAAAAACUCAUUAUAUUCUUAAUAGUAGUAUUACUAUUUGGGAAGAAAAUUGGGAAAUCAUUUGGGGAUUCAAGUUAGUAAGUAUGAUAAUUUAUCCUCUCCUUUCUAGAACUUAGAAAAUAUGGGCAUACUUUGUGUGUUUGUUUUUUGAUGGUGGUGGUGGUGUUUUUAGAAACGUGGUCUUGCUUUGUCCCCAAGCUGGAGUGCAGUAGCUCGACUAGC